Molecule: transfer RNA, 84 nt
Filed under: Siphoviridae sp. ctGa111
Lineage: Duplodnaviria; Heunggongvirae; Uroviricota; Caudoviricetes
Description: tRNA-Leu
Rfam family: tRNA
About the family: Transfer RNA (tRNA) molecules are approximately 80 nucleotides in length.
Source: RNAcentral
GCCACUGUGGUGAAACUGGCAGACACGAGGGACUUAAAAUCCCUUUCUGGUAACAGAGUGCGGGUUCAAAUCCCGUCGGUGGCA